This 992-nucleotide long non-coding RNA is filed under the name Olea europaea subsp. europaea. The record is from RNAcentral. Lineage: Eukaryota; Viridiplantae; Streptophyta; Magnoliopsida; Lamiales; Oleaceae.
CACAUAUUAUCAAAUUAAUUGAUCACAAGUAAUUUCUUGAUUACUUUUUAGAUCACUUUUUUAAAUUACAUAUUAUUUAUUGGUCACAAAUUAAAAAAAUUAUUGGUUACAAACUCCCCCAUUCUAUCUCCACCCAUGAACACCAUAACUAGACACACAAAAUCACCACCACACAUCACAGCAACUCAAAACCACUAGUCAUUGCUUUUAUUUCAUACAGUUUGUUACAUUUGUUUUAUAAUUUUUCAUCAAAUCCACCCAACUGCUUCAUUUCACUUUGCACUUCCUUUGAUGAUAGAGCGAUGAUAAGAACAAUUGAUUGAAUGACGAUGAGCACAAUCGUCGACCACAGUCGCAGCAGCGAUGGGGCACAUACCACAAUCAUAUCUUUGUGCACAACGAUGAUCUGCUCCUCAUCGUUGCUAUGUCAUGUGCGAUUGUGGGUUUGGGAAUAUUUGUGGAAGUGAUAGCAUCAACGAAUGUAGUGGCCAUGAUUGCGGGUUUGGGAAUUUUUUGGUGGUUGAGUGUGGCGCUGUGCAAGAUGGUGCAAGCGACGGUGGUGACUAUGCUUUUCGACAACGGGUAGAGAGAGGAGAGAAGGUCGAAUAGAAAGAGGAGAGAAAAAUUCAGAGGAUGAAAAUGAUUAGGGUUUCGUUGUGGGUGGUUGGGUAUGAGUUAUGUGAAAUUGUUCCAAAGAACCCAUCUUCCCUUGUCUUCCUCUUCCACUUCCCACUGAAGUUUUACUUUGUUGUCAUGGGCUGAGAAGUCACAACGCAUAUACGAGCAUGCUUGCAAAUGUCUGCCAUUAACCAGUUUCGUCCUCAACAGGUCGACUACCUUCACAAGAUCCCUAAUUUCAUUCAUCAAAUCCUUAAAACACUGCUGUAACUGCUCCCAGCUCCCUCGAUCAAUAACUGGAAAACACAUUUGUUUUACAAAUGAAAUAAUUCAACGUCAGAAGACAAGAAAAUUAUACAAAAAAUUUAAACAAG